Molecule: ribosomal RNA, 497 nt
Filed under: uncultured bacterium
Lineage: Bacteria
Description: partial 16S ribosomal RNA
Rfam family: Bacterial small subunit ribosomal RNA
Source: RNAcentral
GAUGAACGCUGGCGGCGUGCCUAAUACAUGCAAGUCGAGCGAACAGACGAGGAGCUUGCUCCUCUGACGUUAGCGGCGGACGGGUGAGUAACACGUGGAUAACCUACCUAUAAGACUGAGAUAACUUCGGGAAACCGGAGCUAAUACCGGAUAAUAUAUUGAACCGCAUGGUUCAAUAGUGAAAGACGGUUUUGCUGUCACUUAUAGAUGGAUCCGCGCCGCAUUAGCUAGUUGGUAAGGUAACGGCUUACCAAGGCAACGAUGCGUAGCCGACCUGAGAGGGUGAUCGGCCACACGGGAACUGAGACACGGUCCAGACUCCUACGGGAGGCAGCAGUAGGGAAUCUUCCGCAAUGGGCGAAAGCCUGACGGAGCAACGCCGCGUGAGUGAUGAAGGUCUUCGGAUCGUAAAACUCUGUUAUUAGGGAAGAACAAAUGUGUAAGUAACUAUGCACGUCUUGACGGUACCUAAUCAGAAAGCCACGGCUAACUACGUG